ACUCCGUACGGGAGGCAGGCAGGAUGGGGAAUAAUUGCACAAUGGGCGCAAGCCUGAUGCAGCCAUGCCGCGUGUGUGAAGAAGGCCUUCGGGUUGUAAAGCNCAUUUUCAGUCGUGAGGAAGGUAGUGUAGUUAAUAGCUGCAUUAUUUGACGUUAGCGACAGAAGAAGCACCGGCUAACUCCGUGCCAGCAGCCGCGGUAAUACGGAGGGUGCGAGCGUUAAUCGGAAUUACUGGGCGUAAAGCGCAUGCAGGCGGCCUG
This 262-nucleotide ribosomal RNA is filed under the name uncultured bacterium. RNAcentral's name for it is "partial 16S ribosomal RNA". It matches the Rfam family "Bacterial small subunit ribosomal RNA", at positions 335 to 582 of the family's 1533-position model. The record is from RNAcentral.